ACGUGAUGUAGCACGGAGCACGGUUAGUAAAGCCGUAAUGAAAACACCGACGGAUUAAACAGCUGAUUUACGAGCCAAAUGAAAAUGAAGCCUUGGAGAUCAGACGGCGCUUUGAGGAAACGCAUGAUAUCGCUCAAAUAACUGACGGGACACAUGCAGAUUUUGGAGCAUCAGUUGCAAAAUGGCUGGAGAAGCCCAAGAUUCCAAUGUUUUGUGCCAUUCAGACCUUUGAGAGCUCAUCAACUGCCAAAGGGUGUGAAAAACACUGACGGACUGAGCGAGAAGACUACACAUCAUUACGAAUACAAAUCAGUGGUGACCCUGCAGAUCCACUCCUUGACUGGUUGCUGAAAGGCUUCAUAAAUUCUACACAUAUGACCCCAGAGGAGAAAUCUGUUAAUGUGAACUCAGCUCACUCUGUGUGACAGUAGAAAACACUUUAAGGAUUUUGAAAUUGAGGUGAAGGGUGCUACUGAAGAGAUUUUCACUUCACCUUUACACCAGUUGUGAUAACCUGCUUUGCACAUCAUAAUUUGUCAAAAUGAGAGGAACAAGGCAAGCAACAACUGGUUGGAGAACGCUGGUCACUUUGAUGGCAUCUUUCCUCAGGCUGGACCACAAGUCCGGAUGCAGAGCUGUUCCGGCGGGAGCAGGACAAC
Molecule: long non-coding RNA, 659 nt
Organism: Thalassophryne amazonica
Lineage: Eukaryota; Metazoa; Chordata; Actinopteri; Batrachoidiformes; Batrachoididae
Exons: 3
Source: RefSeq, a predicted model, not a curated record